Molecule: unclassified non-coding RNA, 379 nt
Filed under: soil metagenome
Description: partial contains 5.8S ribosomal RNA, internal transcribed spacer 2, and large subunit ribosomal RNA
Rfam family: 5.8S ribosomal RNA (bases 1-120)
Source: RNAcentral
GAUGAAGAACGUAGCGAAAUGCGAUAAGUAAUGUGAAUUGCAGAAUUCAGUGAAUCAUCGAAUCUUUGAACGCACCUUGCACUCCUUGGUAUUCCGAGGAGUAUGCCUGUUUGAGUGUCAUUAAAUCAUCAAUCUAACUUCAUUUUGUGAGGUUGGCUUGGAUUUGGAGACUGUUGGACCUCUCUCUCUCGAGGUUUGACUUCUCUUGAAUGCAUUAGUUGGAUUGAAUUGCAAUGCUACGUGUGGUGUGAUAAUAUCUUCACUGCAUAGUUGUAAUGGAAUCUGGCUUCUAACAGUCCUUCAUUGGACAAUCUUGACCAUCUGACCUCAAAUCAGGUAGGACUACCCGCUGAACUUAAGCAUAUCAAUAAGCGGAGGA